RNAcentral lists this ribosomal RNA (689 nucleotides) under uncultured Lachnospiraceae bacterium. Its description in RNAcentral is "bacterial SSU rRNA". It matches the Rfam family "Bacterial small subunit ribosomal RNA", at positions 36 to 722 of the family's 1533-position model. The record is from RNAcentral. Lineage: Bacteria; Bacillati; Bacillota; Clostridia; Lachnospirales; Lachnospiraceae.
CUGGCGGCGUGCUUAACACAUGCAAGUCGAACGAAGCACUCUAUUUGAUUUUCUUCGGAAAUGAAGAUUUUGUGACUGAGUGGCGGACGGGUGAGUAACGCGUGGGUAACCUGCCUCAUACAGGGGGAUAACAGUUGGAAACGACUGCUAAUACCGCAUAAGCGCACAGGAUCGCAUGAUCCGGUGUGAAAAACUCCGGUGGUAUGGGAUGGACCCGCGUCUGAUUAGCCAGUUGGCAGGGUAACGGCCUACCAAAGCGACGAUCAGUAGCCGACCUGAGAGGGUGACCGGCCACAUUGGGACUGAGACACGGCCCAAACUCCUACGGGAGGCAGCAGUGGGGAAUAUUGCACAAUGGGGGAAACCCUGAUGCAGCGACGCCGCGUGAGCGAAGAAGUAUUUCGGUAUGUAAAGCUCUAUCAGCAGGGAAGAAGAAUGACGGUACCUGACUAAGAAGCACCGGCUAAAUACGUGCCAGCAGCCGCGGUAAUACGUAUGGUGCAAGCGUUAUCCGGAUUUACUGGGUGUAAAGGGAGCGCAGGCGGUGCGGCAAGUCUGAUGUGAAAGCCCGGGGCUCAACCCCGGUACUGCAUUGGAAACUGUCGUACUAGAGUGUCGGAGGGGUAAGUGGAAUUCCUAGUGUAGCGGUGAAAUGCGUAGAUAUUAGGAGGAACACCAGUGGCGAAGGC